Molecule: ribosomal RNA, 314 nt
Filed under: uncultured Archaeospora
Lineage: Eukaryota; Fungi; Glomeromycota; Glomeromycetes; Archaeosporales; Archaeosporaceae
Description: SSU rRNA
Rfam family: Eukaryotic small subunit ribosomal RNA
Source: RNAcentral
GCAGCCGCGGUAAUUCCAGCUCCAAUAGCGUAUAUUAAAGUUGUUGCAGUUAAAAAGCUCGUAGUUGAAUUUUGGGUCUGGCCGGGCGGUCCACCUUCCGGUGAGCACUGUUCCGACGUCGGGCCUAUCCUUCUGGUGAGACGGCAUGCCCUUCACUGGGUGUGUCGGGGAACCAGGACCAUUACCUUGAAAAAAUUAGAGUGUUCAAAGCAGGCGUUUGCUCGAAUACAUUAGCAUGGAAUAAUGAAAUAGGACGCGUGGUACUAUUUUGUUGGUUUCUAGGACCGCCGUAAUGAUUAAUAGGGAUAGUUGGG